This 675-nucleotide ribosomal RNA is filed under the name uncultured eukaryote. Its description in RNAcentral is "bacterial SSU rRNA". It matches the Rfam family "Eukaryotic small subunit ribosomal RNA", at positions 322 to 1019 of the family's 1831-position model. The record is from RNAcentral.
UUGAUGGCAGUGUAUUGGACUACCAUGGCAAUGACGGGUAACGGAGAAUUAGGGUUCGAUUCCGGAGAGGGAGCCUGAGAAACGGCUACCACAUCUACGGAAGGCAGCAGGCGCGAAAAUUGCCCAAUCCCGAUUCGGGGAGGCAGUGACAAGAAAUAACUACACUCGGUUUAAUGCUGAGUAGUGUAAUGAGAGUAAUUUACAAACCUUAUUGAAUGCAAUUGGAGGGCAAGUCUGGUGCCAGCAGCCGCGGUAAUUCCAGCUCCAAUAGCGUAUAUUAAAGUUGUUGCAGUUAAAAAGCUCGUAGUUGAAAUUCUGGCAUCCGAGCCAGCAGCUCCUAGGAGACGCUGCUCGAUGCCAUCCGCCUGUAAGCGAGUGACCUGCUUUAAACGGCAGACCUCGCGAACUGGCAUUUUACCUUGAGAAAAACAGAGUGUUCCAGGCAGGUAUGUCCGGAAUGCAUUAGCAUGGAAUAAUAGAAUACGACUGAUAUUCAUUCUUUGGUUGUUGAAUAUUAGUAAUGAUUAAUAGGAACAGUCGGGGGCAUUGGUACUUGACAGUCAGAGGUGAAAUUCGUGGAUUUGUCAAAGACUAACAAAUGCGAAAGCAUUUGCCAAGGAUGUUUUCAUUAAUCAAGAACGAAAGUUAGGGGAUCAAAGACGAUCAGAUACCGUC